Molecule: ribosomal RNA, 490 nt
Filed under: uncultured bacterium
Lineage: Bacteria
Description: partial 16S ribosomal RNA
Rfam family: Bacterial small subunit ribosomal RNA
Source: RNAcentral
GAUGAACGCUAGCUACAGGCUUAACACAUGCAAGUCGCGGGGCAGCAUGGGGGUUGCUUGCAAUCCCCGAUGGCGACCGGCGCACGGGUGAGUAACGCGUAUUCAACCUGCCCUUCACCACGGGAUAACCCGGCGAAAGUCGGACUAAUACCGUAUGUUGUCCAUUGACGGCAUCCGAUUUGGACGAAAGGCUUGGCGGUGAGGGAUGGGGAUGCGUCCGAUUAGCCAGACGGCGGGGUAACGGCCCACCGUGGCUACGAUCGGUAGGGGUUCUGAGAGGAAGGUCCCCCACACUGGAACUGAGACACGGUCCAGACUCCUACGGGAGGCAGCAGUGAGGAAUAUUGGGCAAUGGGCGUAAGCCUGAACCAGCCAAGUAGCGUGCAGGAUGACGGCCCUAUGGGUUGUAAACUGCUUUUAUGCGGGGAUAAAGUGGCCCACGUGUGGGCUUUUGCAGGUACCGCAUGAAUAAGGACCGGCUAAUUCCGUG